GAUGAACGCUGGCGGCGUGCCUAAUACAUGCAAGUCGAGCGAACAGAUGAGGAGCUUGCUCCUCUGACGUUAACGGCGGACGGGUGAGUAACACGUGGAUAACCUACCUAUAAGACUGGGAUAACUUCGGGAAACCGGAGCUAAUACCGGAUAAUAUAUUGAACCGCACGGUUCAAUAGUGAAAGACGGUUUUGCUGUCACUUAUAGAUGGAUCCGCGCCGCAUUAGCUAGUUGGUAAGGUAACGGCUUACCAAGGCAACGAUGCGUAGCCGACCUGAGAGGGUGAUCGGCCACACUGGAACUGAGACACGGUCCAGACUCCUACGGGAGGCAGCAGUAGGGAAUCUUCCGCAAUGGGCGAAAGCUUGACGGAGCAACGCCGCGUGAGUGAUGAAGGUCUUCGGAUCGUAAAACUCUGUUAUUAGGGAAGAACAAAUGUGUAAGUAACUAUGCACGUCUUGACGGUACCUAAUCAGAAAGCCACGGCUAACUACGUG
RNAcentral lists this ribosomal RNA (497 nucleotides) under uncultured bacterium. RNAcentral's name for it is "partial 16S ribosomal RNA". It matches the Rfam family "Bacterial small subunit ribosomal RNA", at positions 28 to 507 of the family's 1533-position model. The record is from RNAcentral.